This 837-nucleotide long non-coding RNA is filed under the name Marmota monax (woodchuck). Lineage: Eukaryota; Metazoa; Chordata; Mammalia; Rodentia; Sciuridae. The record is from RNAcentral.
CUGUGUUUGACCCGUAUCUAUUUUCAUUACUUAUCUUCCCUUCUUAGUUCUCUGGGAGACUAACCUCUGUGGCUUAAGCACCCAGACUCUGACAGACAGCUGAGUUUGUCCAAUGGGAGGCACCAGGAGGAGACUUGAUUAUGGGACAACAGGAGGAGAAGAAGUUUGGAGUACCGGCCUCUAUCCUUCCUGCUGUCUAGUUCCAUCUGGCUUUUAAUUUGUAAAUUUGCCUCUGUGCUCUGUUGGUGCAGAUAGACAAGAGCAUGUCUGAAGACUUCAGUGAAGUCCGCUUGUAGAGGUUCUGUGUUUGGGAUUGGGGUCUCUGAUAAACUUUGUGACUGUGGCAUGCUUGACUGCUAUGAAGUUUCUUUGCAAAACAUGGAAUGCCUGACUGCUGGGAAACUUCUGUGCAAAGACACAGGAUGCCUGCUGCUGUAGAAUGUCCUUGAGGAGGAAACUCUGUCGAAGUCUUAUCAGUUUGGAUCUUCAUCUCAGGCACACAGCUCCUGGGAAGAGAAAGACUCCUAGUUAUUCUGACCAUGAAAUUGUACCUGAAAGCAUUCCUCUGGUGAAUACCCGGGGGGCAACUGGCACUCUGUUUCCCAAGCUUGGAAGGCUCAGUAGUUUUCUCCUUGAACCUGGUAAGAUAACUAACACAGGUGCAGUAUCUAGUUACUAUGGUAAUGUCCUUCAAUAAGAGAUUCUAUGAUCUCAGAUACCCAGCACCUGGGAUUAAAGUAAUACUAAAUAAUAAUGUAGUCAUGACACUAAUGACCUAAUGUAACCUUUUGUGAUAAAUAAAUGAGUCUACUUGGAGGGGUGUAUCUUAUCUCUGUG